Molecule: long non-coding RNA, 3714 nt
Organism: Oreochromis niloticus (Nile tilapia)
Lineage: Eukaryota; Metazoa; Chordata; Actinopteri; Cichliformes; Cichlidae
Source: Ensembl
GGCAACAUGUUUUUCUUUCUUUGUUUAUUAUCAUUACUUUUGAAAAUUGUAUUUAAAUUGUUAAGAGAUUUUAACCCUUUCACGCAUAGUGGUCACCACAGUGGACAGCUAUUCAAACGCUGUUUUCUUGUAUUUGUGUCAGUGUUGACGGUGUAUUUGCACAUAAAUCACUACAUUGGACACUGAUGUAUCACUCCAUACCUGGCAGGGUUAUAUUUGUUACAUAUUGUUGGUGCCUUUGCGCACCUUCCUUCGUUAGUUUCCCCCAGUAUAGAUUAUCUUUAUUUCCGUUUUGCCAUUUUCACCUUGUGUUUUAUUUUGCAACAAACCUAAUUCGUAUCUCAGCAAGUGCCUGCUUUUGGCUCCUCAUUUAUUUCCUCCACACAGCUCACUCUGCUAGCUAUGACAGCAGCUCUCCCGCCGCCACCUGUACACAUCAUCACCAACAACAACAACAACACAAGCAGAGCACAGGUUUUAAGCCAGCAAGGCGUGAUUGUAGAUGCCGUGCAGCAGGUCCAUCUCACCUGCAGCGGCAUCGCAGAACACGCCCCACCACAUACCCGCAUUGCCAGACUGAGGCCGGGGAGCCAUACGGCCGAACCUACUCCCCCCUCCGUGAGCAGGUGAGGGAAUCGGCCCGGACCAUUGGCGCCCCAGGCCCUGGCCCAGCAACCAGGAAGUAUUCAGGCGCAUCCAGCGGCGCUGGGGGCGCCCAUUGUUCCUUCAGUGGGCUGGUUUCAGUCAUUAUGCAAAUGUACUGUUUAUAAAAUUAGGGAAACCUGCAGUCAGCUGAGACUGAAGUCACUUGGAUGAGUGACGAAACGUUUCUCCCACUGAAAAUGCUACAUCCAGAUGAACAGAAUCAACUUUUGGUGAACAUCUAUGGAGCACUUACACAGUCUAUGACUAUGGUAUACAUUUACAUACAUUCUUCAUUCAAGGUUCUUUAUUCGUCACAUGCAUAGUUAUACAAGUAUAACACACAGUGAAAUGUAACCUGACACGCUCCUCGACUUGUGCAAAAAUGGGGAUGGAGAGAGGAAGAACAUUAUAUAUAAUAUAUAAUAUAUAAUUAUAUAUCAGGGGUCGGCAACCCUAGGCACGCGUGCCACCGUUGGCAUGCGAAGGGUUAACUGAUGGCACGCACGACCAUAGCUGGACUGGUCAUCGGGCAUAAGGGCAUUUGCUCGGUAGCCCGAUUAUUUUUUAUUUUUUGGUGGUGGAUUGGCCAGACGCUGGUCGGUGUGUAAAAAUAACUCAGUUGUUUGGUGGUGGCUAUGGCGGAGCUUCCACAGAUUCAGUAGGAUGAGGGAAGGGGAGGCAGGAGGAGGGAGGAGAGACCCGAGGCGGCCGCCCGUCAGACCGUCAGGUGAACUGAACUUCAGGUAAGAAGUUAUGACCUGCACUCUAUUUGGGUCAGAUAUAAAACAAGUUUAGGUGGAGUUUAUUUUCGUUGUGCUGACUUUUUACAGUCAGUUACAAUAACUCGUACUGCGUACUAGCUAGCAUGACGGAGUUUAUAUACUGCUGGGCGGGUGCUAUGAUUUUAUUGAUAGUGAACUUUAUUUUAUUCAUAAGGUUAGUUAGUAGAGUUGCCAACCAUCCCGUACAAACGGAAUCGUCCCGCAUUCAGAGAAAUUAUUACACGUUUCGUGUUGAGCUGAGAAGGAACACAGUUUGUCCCGGACUUCAGCCAGGAUGGAAAAAGACACAAAGCUGGAGUUACUGUGUUACUGAAUCAGAGCUGAACAGGUGAUGGAGAAACAGGUUUACCUUUUAGGUGACAUGAAUGAGUUGAAGGGAAGUUAUGAACUGUUUCUGAGAGACAAAUAACACCGGGAUCCUUUUCUAAGUAGCUGACAGCUGGUAACUGUGCAGGGGCGGAUCUAGCAAAGUUUUGCCAGGGGGCCAGGUAGGGCAUUAACAGGGAAAGGGGGGCACAAAGAAAUACUUUCUUAUUCUCAUUUAAAAUGUCUGGCUGUUAUUAAAUAAUUAUCUGAAGCUUACAACCAAAGUUUUUAUCUGACGUAAAAUGAAUAGAAAUCAUACAUUUACCAACAAGACAGUGUACAUCACUGUCACAACAGCGUUUGUUUUCAUUCAAAGGCUUUAUGGCUUUAAUAUCUGGUGGGCCGGUCUUUAGUCAAAAUGCAUCCGUAGACUCGAGACACAAUGCAUUUUUGGGACUUUCAGGUGUAUGGACCAAUGUUUUAUUUUCUGAUCAAACCAGAAAUCUUUAAUGAGCAGCUAGAUUUGUCUCGCAUUAACUGGCUGAGUUAAUGCCAGUUAAUGCGACAUCGAAGCAGCUGGAAUCUACAGCUGUGCAUGUUCAUGGAGCUUGCAUUUUCACCUGCUGGACAUCACUACCUGACAAGUUUAACUGUCUUCAGAACAUUGCAGAGGCCUUAUUGACAGUAUUUGGCUCUACAUAUCUGUGUGAGCAGAUUUUCUCUCACAUGAGUGUCCUCAGGUAGCCGUCUGAAUGCUGGACACUCUGAGACCUGUGUCUCUGAGUGGGAGACCAGAGACACACAUUAACAUGUGUGUCUCUGUAUUAACAAACAUGCCAUAUUGGCCCAGUUUAUUUUUCUUAUCAUUGUUGUGAGGAGACCAUAAAUAGCAUUUGUAUUUUCUGUUGUACAGUUCAUUUGCUGUUAUGGAGUUCUUGUUAUGAAUAAAAAGUGUCUUUUUUUUGUUUCAAAAUAGCUGAUAACUAUUCGCUGAUAGCUGCCAACAUUUGCAAACAAAUAUAAUUCUAUAAAGUGGUUCUAUAUAAUGUGUAACUGUUCAUAUAGAGCGUUAUUAAAUUUAUUGCUAAUGCAAUCAUAUGACACACUGACUUCUGAGGAAAUUUUAAAUGGCACUCGCCAUCAAAAAGGUUGCCUACCCCUGUUAUAUAUAAUAUAUACAUUAUACAUUAGGUGAUAUUAUAUAUAAUAAUAUAUGAUAAUUAUAUAUAAUAUAUAUAAUGUUCUUCCUAAUUUCUAUUGCUACCAAUAGAAGUAAAAAAAUGACAGACAAAAGUUUACAUUUUAAAGACAGUGCAGCAGCUAGAACAAGACCAUUUUUGGUCAACCUUAGUAGUCAGGUCAGUACGCACUAUCAGAAAAGUUCUGGUUGAGUUCAUUUGAAACACAAGGGCUGUGGUGGCCAGAAAAAACAUAAGGCGUAGACUGGUACUACUGGUGGCCAACUCGAGAUAACAUUACUUACAUCUUGGAACCACAUUUCACUGGAAAACAAAACAAAACAUUAUAUAAUCAUCAAGAAGUCAUAGAUAAUGUUUUAUUGCAAGAAAACGUCAUCUGAAAUUAAUUUGUAUUGAAAUGAAAUGUACUGUAUCUAUGAAUUUUUUUUUUCUUACCAAUGCCAGUUUGCGUAAGGAGAAGAGGCAGUGCAAGCAGGAGGACAUCCACUGUCACAACUGCUCCGAUUAUCCAUAUCAUUUUUGAUGCUUUAAAGAGGAGGUUAUUUCGAAUUUUAAAAGGAAACUGUUUAACAGGGUAAAAACACCUUGAAACUUACUAUGGCGAUGUGACACAGAUGGCUCAUUCUCAAGAAGCAUUUGUUUAAUUCGGUUUUUAGUGACUGAGAGCACACAAAAACUUGUUUACAUAUAUGUCCUGUAGGUUACUGUACUGGGAAGGUUACUUUUAAAAUGUAUUCCAUUACAGAUUACAGAAUACAUGUAUUUUGUAACAUACACCGUUA